Anguilla anguilla (European eel) is the source of this 974-nucleotide long non-coding RNA. RefSeq lists it as uncharacterized. The transcript has 3 exons. NCBI's taxonomy places the organism in Eukaryota, Metazoa, Chordata, Actinopteri, Anguilliformes, Anguillidae. The record is from RefSeq and is a predicted model, not a curated record.
CGGGAGAACCACAAGUGGUCGCCACAAUUAUCUGAAUAAUUACAGCGGGUGUGAUUACGCCGGUAACUCCCCCCACCUGCGUUCUUGGGUCUGAACUACAAGCCGAAUUUAAGUUGGGAGGGAAAAAACAACAACAGACGAUUCUCCAAGGAAAAGAGCAAAUUCCAGCGCCGCAGAGUCGUCAUAUGGCUGCUUAAGAUGGCUAACACGCCAGGCUGUUGUAAGAGUUGGAGCGGCUUAUUUAAAUUGAGCUAAUUAAAUUGAGGUAACUCACUACCUCGUUUUCGCUCACUUAACGUUCACCAAACACACACGCGGCAACGGUAGCUGUACGGCAAGUCCUCCAGGCGGCUUCUCUCUCGGUUUCAUCUGGCAAGCGGAUGACCUGAGCUAAAGUGGUGAGACCCACUGAGAUUUCCAUCUCUUUUUCACGGGAGCCCAGAGAAGCAACAAGCGCUUCUCUAUCUCGUUCCUUUCUUCCAGACACAGCAGUUUUCUGCGGUUGGACCCAGCGAUUGGUGGGCCAGGCUCCUGUGAGGCUGAGUGGGACAGAUCAAAGUCAUAUGGAGGACAACAGGGGGUUUCAUUAAAAUCUCCCCCCUUUCCGCCCCAGGAAAGAGAAGCAAACACCGGGUGAAAAAUCAUCUGGCCUAAACUAGUUUAAAAAAAUAAAAAAAAGAGCAACCCACCUGUGGUCUCCCUGGAAACCGGCUGCCACCCCCUCCAGCCACCUUUUAAUGAAACCCCAGAGCCCCCUCAUUAAUUUAUUAAGGAAUCUAUUUUGUGAUGAUUCAUAAACUGCGCGCGCGGCUAGCGCCUGACACGCCGCCGCUAUGCUAAUAUGAAAUAAAAGCCAUGAAUAAUAAAUAAUUUAAUUAGUAACAAUUAGCCGUUCCGAUGGGUCAGCGUGCCGGAGCUGACACACUGGGCUUUAGAAGGGAGCGCUGGCUCCAGAAGACAGGGGGCGCAUUUGG